Molecule: long non-coding RNA, 2853 nt
Organism: Panthera uncia (snow leopard)
Lineage: Eukaryota; Metazoa; Chordata; Mammalia; Carnivora; Felidae
Exons: 2
Source: RefSeq, a predicted model, not a curated record
AUGGAUGCAGAUAAUUUAAUAAACACUGAUAAAAAGUAAAAAAAAAAUCCUGAUUUAUAUUCAGACAGACCUGGGUUCACCUCCUGACUUCAUUUAUGUUAACAAUCUUUGUGACCUGGGUAGGGUAUUUAAUCCUCUUUGAGGAUUAAAUUGGUAAAGGGAAAUAACACUUUGUCUGGGAAAUUAUACUCAGUAAAAAGAAGUAUAUUAUUUAUUUAAAUAUUAUAAAUGUAUGUAAUAUUAGUAAUGCUUUGUUCUUGUAUGUUACAUGUAAUAAAAAAGGAUGAGGUCUAGACCUAGUAACUCUGAUCCUGAUUAAACUUGAUUUCAGAUACCAAAAUACUUAUAACACAAUAUUUAUUAAAUACUAUUUUAUUUAUAGACCAAGCCUGCAUAAACUGACAGAUCCUCUGACAUCUCGUAAUAAGCUUAUAGUUAAUAAAGCCUCCAGGUCUUUUAAUCUGACUUGCCGCCGGGCUCUGUUUACUUGCUGAGGGUAUUUCUGAACCUAAAUGUAGGCCCUUACCUCUGUAGAUUCAUCUUGUUUUCAAUCCAGUGUUCAUCUAUUUGGUAUAAUUAUGAAUUCCAUCAUUGUGAAAUCAUUGUUCCUGUUUCUGUCAGACAUAUCAUCUACUUAUUUGAUACCACAUUUUAUGUCAGUAUCUAAAUUAGAGAAAUAAAAAUUUGGGGGCUAUAGGUUACUUUGGAAGUCAUCUAAUCCAUUUUUUCAAACCACAGUUCAUGCCCCAUUUUUGGUAAUGAAAUCAACUUUUUGAGUUAUAAUCUACAUUAAAAAUAAUGACAUAGAAUAGGAAAUAUCAGGGGGCAUUGUGUUAUAAGGGUGUUAUUUUAUGAAACUUUUGUUUUAGUUACACACACCAACACAUAUAUGAUUAGCGCCCCUCGAUCAUAUUUCUUAUUAUGGAUCACUGUUAAGAAGUUUGAAGGUCACUGAUUUAGUCUACUUAUUAGAUGGAAGAAAAGGUUCAGUGAGAAUAAACCACUUCCCCCCAAACAUGUCUAUGCUAAUAGUGUCCUAACAUAAAACAUGAUUAUUACAUUUAAAAUCCUACUAGUUUUUUUGUGUAAUUUAAAAUAAUGAUGAAAUUGUCAGGAGAUAAAGGAGCACAGACAAAAAAGCCUCAUGGUGUUUCAUGUUAGAGUCCAUACUUCAGGUUAACGUUAGCUCAUUCAACAGUACUCUGUAGAAAAAAAUUCAUACAGUUUAAAAUCUUAUCAAUUCAGAGUUUUCAGUCUUGUGGAAAAAAAGCAUCAUUAACUUUGUCAUGUAUCUAUCAGACUAAUAAUCCUGCCAGAGAGUGAAGAGGGUAUCUUGACAAGAAUUUAUCAAUGAUUGUGUUUUUGUUUUUAGAACAAACUUUGUUUUCUAGAUGCUUCUAACCCUUUCUGUUAAUUUCCAGGGUCGAAUAAUCAAACUUCCUAUCUUGUAAUUUUGGAAUCUUCCCUACAUAUACAUAACUUUAAAAAAAUCAAGCUUGGGGCAUCUGGGUGGCUCAGUCAAUGGAGCGUGUGACUCUUGAUCUCAGGGUUGUGGCUUCAAGCUCCAUGUUGGGUGUAGAGAUUAAUUGAAAAUAAAAUCUUUUAAAAAUAUAUAGAAGAUGUGCAUAUAUAUAUGUGUGUGUGUGUGUGUGUGUAUAUGUAUAUGUAUAUCACAUACGUAUACACACAUACAUUCAUAUAGUGGAAUACUGCUCGGUGAUUAAAAAGAAUGAAAUCUUGCCAUUUGCAACAAUGUGGCUAGAACUAGAGUGUAUUAUGCUAAGCGAAAUAAGUCAGUCAGAGAAAGAAAAAUAUAUGAUCUCACUCAUAUGUGGAAUUUAAGAAACACAACAGAUGAGGGGCUCAGUCGGUUAAGCAUCUGAUUUCCACUCAGGUCAUGAUCUCACAGUUCGUAAGUUCGAGCCCCGCUUUGGGCUCUGCACUGAAAGCUCAGAGCCUGGAGCCUGCUUCCGAUUCUGUGUUUCCCUCUCUCUCUGCCCCUCCACCUCUCGUGCUCAGUCUCUCUCUCAAAAAUAAAUAAACGUUAAAAAAAAAAAAUACAAAAGAUGAACAUAGGGGAAGGGAAGAAAAAAAUAAGAUAAAAACAGAGAGGGAGGCAAACCGUAAGAGACCCUUAAACACAUGGAACAACUGAAGAUUUGCUGCUGGAGUGGAGGUAGGUGAGGGGAUGGACUAAGUGGGUGAUGGGCAUUAAAGAGGGCACUUGCUGGGAUAAGCACUGGGUGCUGUAUGUAAGUGAUGAAUCACUGGGUUCUACUUCUGAAACCAGUACUCCACUUUAACUAACUUGAAUUUAAAUACAUAAAUUUAAAACUCACUCAACCUGAGUAUAGACUUGAGCUCUCAUUAAUUUUCUUGCCAUGAGCAUGAUUUUCUAGAAAGGAUUGUGUUGUCCUCGUUAGUGAGUGUGUGCGUUUUUAAUUUUAGCUUUAACAUUCUUUGUAAACAUAACUUUUUGUAAGUCUUUCUAGUUGGCAUUUACCAAUUAUUGUUUACACUUACUAUGUGACAGAUACUUUGUAAUUCUUUCUACUUGGCAUUUUUUUUUGUCUUUAUAUUAUUUUUCAGUCUUGUCUAGUCAGUUCAUAUUUUUCAGUCUUGUCUACAAAAGCAUCACUAAGUAUUGUCCAGUAAUUCUUACAAUACAUUAUGGUGUUUAUAUAACUGUUUCCCCUGCUAUAUUGUAAAUACUUGGAGAGCACCUAAUCCAGUGAUUCUAAAUAUGUAUUUGAGUUGGAUCACAAAACUCAUACUCAGACAUCAGUGGUUUGUACAUUCCUGUGUUUUAAAGAGUUGGAAGUAGAACCCAGGUCUUCUGAUUAUCAAAUAUGU